CUGGCGGCAGGCCUAAUACAUGCAAGUCGAGCGCGCCCUUCGGGGUGAGCGGCGGACGGGUGAGUAACGCGUGGGAAUAUGCCCUUCUCUAAGGAAUAGCCUCUGGAAACGGAGAGUAAUACCUUAUACGCCCUUUGGGGGAAAGAUUUAUCGGAGAAGGAUUAGCCCGCGUUAGAUUAGGUAGUUGGUGGGGUAAUGGCCUACCAAGCCUACGAUCUAUAGCUGGUUUGAGAGGAUGAUCAGCCACACUGGGACUGAGACACGGCCCAGACUCCUACGGGAGGCAGCAGUAGGGAAUCUUAGACAAUGGGGGCAACCCUGAUCUAGCCAUGCCGCGUGUGUGAUGAAGGCCCUAGGGUCGUAAAGCACUUUCGCCAGAGAUGAUAAUGACAGUAUCUGGUAAAGAAACCCCGGCUAACUCCGUGCCAGCAGCCGCGGUAAUACGGAGGGGGUUAGCGUUGUUCGGAAUUACUGGGCGUAAAGCGCACGUAGGCGGAUUAGUAAGUUAGAGGUGAAAUCCCAGGGCUCAACCCUGGAACUGCCUUUAAUACUGCUAGUCUUGAGUUCGAGAGAGGUAAGUGGAAUUCCGAGUGUAGAGGUGAAAUUCGUAGAUAUUCGGAGGAACACCAGUGGCGAAAGCGGCUUACUG
This 649-nucleotide ribosomal RNA is filed under the name uncultured marine bacterium. RNAcentral describes it as "bacterial SSU rRNA". It matches the Rfam family "Bacterial small subunit ribosomal RNA", at positions 36 to 731 of the family's 1533-position model. The record is from RNAcentral.